GGGAAUGUAGCUCACUGUUAGAGCACUUGCCUAGCAUAUAUGAAUCCCUGGGUUCAACCUUCAGCACUUCCA
Molecule: transfer RNA, 72 nt
Filed under: Fukomys damarensis (Damara mole-rat)
Lineage: Eukaryota; Metazoa; Chordata; Mammalia; Rodentia; Bathyergidae
Rfam family: tRNA
About the family: Transfer RNA (tRNA) molecules are approximately 80 nucleotides in length.
Source: Rfam by way of RNAcentral